This is a long non-coding RNA of Ooceraea biroi (clonal raider ant), 4844 nucleotides long. RefSeq lists it as uncharacterized. The record is from RefSeq and is a predicted model, not a curated record. NCBI's taxonomy places the organism in Eukaryota, Metazoa, Arthropoda, Insecta, Hymenoptera, Formicidae.
UUUGUCAGGGAUAUUUUCCUGAUUAUGAAUUCCACAGCCACCACAGGUAUAUGAUGAUUCUCUUCGUAGCUCGGAAAAAUGUAACAUCAAUAAUACUAAUUCCGAAGUCUCCGCGAGAGGUCUCAAGUCGCGUCUAUUUUUCCACUUCACGAGACAGUAGAUAAGCUCGUGGGUCGUCGGUUAAGUUGUUGGUACAGCGUUCUGCAUUCGUAUGGACGUUCUGUUGUUUUUGACUCGUGUUGUAAAUUACUGUUGUAAUACUUGUAAUACUAUAUGCAGUAUAGACGCUAAUAUAAAUAAGCGAAGAAAAAAAAGAAGCCUAAAACAUUUUUGACUUGUACGAGAUCGAUAAGAGUCUCACGGACUAAAAAUAACGAAAAGAAUAAUUAAGACAGGAAUAUUAAUGAACCAUGUGUUUUUCGUACGCUUGAUUGCUAAAUAUUAAGUGCUACUUUUACGUUUAGUUGUAACAAUUUCAGAUUUGAAACAGUGUACAGAGUGUAUUCGGAUGCUAUAACCUAUAAAUUCAAUACGCAUUAUCUUUUGCUCGCAUCAUUUUGGAUUUUUAAUGGUUUUGGAUAUAUUUCGUAUGGAGAAAUUGUUCCAGCUACCAUUUGAAAAGUAUAUUUUGGAGAAAUUUACGUACAAUGCCGUUACAUUUUAGAGAAAAAUGUUUCAGACAAAUGUUAAUUAGUUCAAAGGGGGACAUAAGAUGGUGUUAUUGGUUUGACCUUGAGUGAACUUGCCAAGGUCAUAUAAAGGCUGACUUGUUUUUUUUUAAACGGAACCCCCUAUUUUUCAUUAGAUAUUCUUAUAGCUUACCUCGAGAGCUUUACAAAACACUAUAAUAAAGUAUUUUUUCAUUAAGUACUUUUCGAGUUAUGAGGUUUGAAAGUUACAUUACCGCCGAUAUUCAAGCCUCAUAUUUAAAACAAUACUUAAUGAAAAGAUAUUUUAUUAUAGUAUUUUGGAAAGCUCUCGAAAUAAGCUAUAAGAAUAUGCAAUAAAAAAUAGGGACAGACUUUAUAGAAACCCCACGGGUGUGCAGUAUACAAGAAGGGUAGAAACUUAAAAUUUUUAAUAGGAUAUUUUUUAUUGUCCAUUUUGUAAGCAAUAAUAAAAUCUAUUUUCAAAUUCUGUCCUGAUAUUUUGAAACACUUGUCUGUGAAUGGAUCUACAUUAUCGAACAAUCCGUUGCCGAAGUAUAAUCAUGACAUUGCUGAUGUUCACAAACAUAAACACGAACAAAAAACAGUCUCAAUAGGAAGAUCAAUUUAGUUUCGCACGAGUUUGUAGCGAAUUAACAAGCACUGUACUUACCAGUUUAAGUAAGAGAAGUUAAUUUAUUUUGUUGCAAUUUUGUUAAAAAUUGUACUACAAUGGUUCAUACGUUGGCUGAAAAAAUUGAAAUGAUUUUUAUCUACGGAGCUGAGAACUGUUGUGUAGCAAGAACAGCUAUUACUUUCAAUAUUAGACAUCCUGAUAAAAAUGUCAGUCACACCUACGUCCAGCAAUUAGUAUUAAAAUUUGAAGAAACAGGAUCAGUAGCAAACAGAAAAUGAAACGUACAAAGAGUAGUGAAUGAAGCAACUGAACUUGAAGUGUUAGGCCAUUUUGCAAUAAAUUCAACAAUAUCUCUUCGUCAAGCUGCAGUUACAACAGGGAUUUUCCACUAAUCUGUACGUAAAGUCCUGAAACUAAAUAAAUUUCAUCCAUAUAAAAUUCUCCACGAACUACAUGAAGACGACUCUGAUAGAUGAAUUCAAUUUUGUAAGGAAAUGAUAGAAAGAAUUUAAAACACACCGCAAUUGCUAAAAAAUAUUUGUUUCAGCGACGAAUGUACGUUUUUCUUACUGACGUGGUUAAUAAACACAAGUGUCGGUAUUGGAGUGAUGAAAAUCCACACGUUUUCAGAAAAGGACAUACCCAACGGCCGCAAAAAAUUAAUGUUUGGGCUGGCAUUUUAGGGGACAGUAUCAUUGGGCCACUAUUUAUUGAAGAAAAUCUAAAUGGCAAUAUUUACCUAGAAUUGUUAGAAACUAUCAUUGAACUUCUCAUCAUUCAAGAAUUGGAAAACCAACAAGAUAUUGAAGGCAAUAUACAUUUGAAUGAAAACCUAAUUCAUUUCCAACAAGAUGGGGCUCCCCCACACUAUGUCUUGUCUGUCCGACAAUUCUUAAACAACAGAUUUCCUGAACAGCGGAUUGGAAGAAGAGGCCCGAUAGAAUGGCCCACAAAGUCUCCAGAUUUAUCUCCUUUGGAUUUCUUUCUUUGGGGCUAUCUAAAGUCAAAGAUUUAUAAAACACAGCCUACAACGAUUGUACAACUUAGACAACGGAUCGUCGAAGAAUGCAGAUCCAUUCCCAGACAAGUAUUUCAAAAUGUCAGGACAGAAUUUGAAAACAGACUUUAUUAUUAUUUACAAAAUAAUGGACACCAUUUUGAACAUUUGUAUUAAUAAAAAUGUAAUGUAAUAAAAUGGAUUUUUGUAUAAUUUGAAAAAAUUACCAAGUUUUCCUUGAAUGUCUCAAAAAACAUUGGACAAAUAAAAAAAUGUUUCAGACAAAAGUUGUUUGUUUUCUUGCGUAAAAUAAGAUGCCGUUAAAAAAAUUAUAGAUUCCCAUUUAGAAAAAUUAAGUUGACCUUGAAAACGUCCAUUAAAUUAAAAAUAAGUAAUGUUGUUAUAUUGCCCCCUCGAAACCAAACAACUUUUAUUGAAAACAUUUUUCUCUAAAACUGAAAACAAAAAAGAUAUUAAGGCUGAAAGUUUUCGAAUUGACAGCCUGUAUAAUACAAAUAGAAAUCUUGUUUUUUCCGAAAUGGCUAUUAAACGAUUUGUGUUACUUUGUGAAAACAUUUAUGGUUCAACUUUUUUAUCGUAUAAUAUAUAUGGACUUUUACAUUUAGUCGAAGAUGUAUUCCGAUUUGGUCCUUUAGAUAGUUACUCAGCAUUUCCAUACGAAAGCAGCAUAGUUCAUUUUAGAAAAAUGUGUAGAAAACCACAUCUUUCCUUGCAGCAAAUUGCUACAAGACGUGCAGAGCAAGAUCAGUGCAAACUAAAAUCGAUUGUACAGGGUAAUUACAUAAAAAUGUGGAAAAAAACACGCGAAAGGUCCAUUACUUCAUGCUGACAAUAAUUCUAGAACUUAUGACGAAUACAAAUUUAUAAAGUAUCAAGAUAUGACAAUUGGUGUUUGUGUACGCGACAAUUGUUGUAUUUUAUUAGACUCAAGUAUAUGUUGUGUAAAAAAUAUUUUAUAACAUGAAAAUAAUUAUUUUAUUGUCGUUAACAAGUUUUUGCAAGUAACAGAUUUGUAUAGUAUUAGCAUUACCUCAUCCUCAGUUGACAUUUACAAGUGUUCUGAAUUAGCUCAUGAUUAUGAUAUUAUUCUAGUAGAAAAUAUCAAGGCUAAAUGUUUUAGAAUGCCUUAUUGGACUUGUCUCUCUAACAAAAUAAGUGACGAAGUAAUGUUAGAUAACGUAGUAUAAUAAAAGAUGAAUUUGUUGUUGCAGUAAUCAAUAAUAAGAAACAAAAUAAUUUAUUAUUAAAUCUAAUAAUUUAUUAUUAAUGUAGUAAAUAAAUCCUUCAAUUUGCCAGUAAUGAUAUAUUGAAAUAAAGAUUUAUUGAUGACCAAGCUGGCAAUACAAAUGUAAAGGGCACAACGUUUCGGCCGACGGUUUCGGUCCUUCUCAAGUGCAAACAAAACAUGAAGUGUCAAAUUCUACAAUCAAAUGAAAUAUAAAGUCAAUAUAAAGACUAAAACAAAUAAUUAAAAAUAAUAUGGUUAACACUCACUACCAGAAUGAAACAUUUCCUGAACAAUUAAACUCAUGGAGAGACCAGAAUCGAACCAGUCAUCUCAGAGGACGAUCACACUGUGAACAUUACAAGAUCAAAAAUAAAGUCGCUAGUACAUAUAUCAAAUGCUCAUCAAAAUAGAAUCAUAAAUAUUUGGUAAAUUUUCAGUGUCCUUUUGCGAGUUCACCGCAAAAACAUGACGCUUUAUGAAAAACAUUUCAGCUAUUUCUCUCUUGCGUAAAUGCUUUUCAUGAUGUAAUAUUUUAAUAUAAUUCCAGUUAAAUUCGUGACAAUGAUCCAAUCUAUGUCUACUGACAACAGAAAGAUUAUCAUUAUUUUUACUAAUAUUAGCUUUGUGUUCCUUCAUACGCGUGUCAACAUGUCUUUUCGUUUGCCCUAUGUAACAGGCAUCACAAUUGUCACAAUCGAUCCUAUACACAACACAUUUAUUAUGUCCAUUUAACAAUGUAAUUGUAAUGGAUUAAUUUAAUAAAUGUAAAAUAAACUUUACAUUUAUUACUAUGAAAAAUAAUUAUCGAAAAUAAACAUUGUUUGCGUAAACAUUUUGUCACAUCACGUAUCCUCAUAUUAUUAUCAAAGAAGAUUUGUAACUCUCUGUAUAAUUCAUACUUUUCAGGAUGCAUGCAUUUUUACAUCUUUUCUAAACUCUUGUAAUGUUACAUGUACAUUGUGAAGACAUUUUGUCAUGGUAUAAAAAGAAAUAAAAAAAAAGUUUUUACGUUUAGAUUAUUCCUUAUUUUCAGAUCUAUAGAUUGUGCAAAAAGACCAUUAAAAAAGCCACACCGAUAUGAAACCACUUCAAGUGAUGAACAAGUAAAGACUAAGAAACAUAAGCGUAUUAAUGAAGAAAAAACAAAGAAAAAAGUUGCAACUACUUUGCAGGAUAUCCGCAAUACUAUGAAUAAUGAUAAUCUGCUAUAUAAUUCAAAUUCCAAUAAUUCAAAAUGUACGGUUACAAAGGCGCCCAUUAUGCACAAUCAAAUCUACCAAAAUACAUUUACUCCAUACACACAGACCGAAAAAA